AUGGAAUAUGUGGUAUUGUCUUUUCAAUUUUCCCUCAUUACUCUGUUUCCACUCCCAACCCAAAACUCUCAUCUUGUUCUCACAGUUCUCACUCACCGCGCUCAACAACAAUUUCCUCCAUCCAGCGUCUUAGUUAGGGUUUAUCUAUCAGACACAUCUCUCACACCGAAAACCCUCUCAACAAAACCCUACUCUUCCCAAAUCGCGAUUCCCCCUUCUCUUUUCGCGAUUCCCGUUUGUCUUCACAGAGGGUUCCGUUUCAAAAUCGAAAAACUUAAAUUAGUUUCUUUUUAUUCAAAGAAUUUAUCAAGGUUUCCGCGUUUUUGUGUUGCGGGGUUUCUUGAUUGA
Non-coding RNA from Vicia faba (fava bean), 348 nucleotides. The record is from the annotation of a GenBank genome assembly. Lineage: Eukaryota; Viridiplantae; Streptophyta; Magnoliopsida; Fabales; Fabaceae.